GACGAACGCUGGCGGCGUGCCUAAUACAUGCAAGUGGGACGCAAGAGGACACACUGUGCUUGCACACCGUGUUUUCUUGAGUCGCGAACGGGUGAGUAACGCGUAGGUAACCUACCUAUUAGCGGGGGAUAACUAUUGGAAACGAUAGCUAAUACCGCAUAAUAUUAAUUAUUGCAUGAUAAUUGAUUGAAAGAUGCAAGCGCAUCACUAGUAGAUGGACCUGCGUUGUAUUAGCUAGUUGGUAAGGUAAGAGCUUACCAAGGCGACGAUACAUAGCCGACCUGAGAGGGUGAUCGGCCACACUGGGACUGAGACACGGCCCAGACUCCUACGGGAGGCAGCAGUAGGGAAUCUUCGGCAAUGGACGAAAGUCUGACCGAGCAACGCCGCGUGAGUGAAGAAGGUUUUCGGAUCGUAAAGCUCUGUUGUAAGUCAAGAACGUGUGGAGAGGGAAAGUUCACACA
Molecule: ribosomal RNA, 464 nt
Filed under: Streptococcus mutans
Lineage: Bacteria; Bacillati; Bacillota; Bacilli; Lactobacillales; Streptococcaceae
Description: bacterial SSU rRNA
Rfam family: Bacterial small subunit ribosomal RNA
Source: RNAcentral